Molecule: long non-coding RNA, 1189 nt
Filed under: Numida meleagris (helmeted guineafowl)
Lineage: Eukaryota; Metazoa; Chordata; Aves; Galliformes; Numididae
Description: lncRNA (ENSNMEG00000004860.1)
Source: RNAcentral
AAGAUGCCAAGUGCAUUGGGAGAGAACAGAGGGAAACCUGCAGCCACGAAGCUAGGAUGAGAUGGCAGGGUCUCACUGUGCCAUUGAAGUCCCAGCCCCACGGGCACAGGAGCACGGCAGUGCCUGGUGCAAAGCCCAGAUUGCCCUGGGUAUGGAAGUGGCACUCAGGGUCUCUCUGCUCCUUAUAUUGAGGCAGAGUGGGAGAACUGAAGGGGAAGGAGAAAGACAAGUUUGCAUGCAGAGCAGAAAAGGGCAAUGCUGAAUUUAUUCUGGAGAACAGAGCUGGGUCUCCCGAGUGCAAGCAGCAGCUGUUCUUCCUGAACGCAGAGCAAAAGAUUCAGGCAAACUCUCCGGGGAGUUUUUAAUUUUCUAUCUGCUGAUUUCAGAGCUGUUUUCACCCAGACGUGUGCAUUGUGGCUCCGGGAGCUGCACGCUGAUGCAUCCAGGGGCUCUGUGCCAGGCAGGAGCGGUGCUGCACAGCUGUGCACAGCUGCACCAGCGCUGCCCCAUCCCCUCCCUCAUAGCAUGGGUCAUAGCCCCCAGCUCUGCCCAAAGAGAUCCUCGUGAUCAGGAGAUACAGAAAUGUUUUACACCCAAAGCAGCCCUGGGUCUUCAACUCCAUAUGCAGAAGUUGUGAUUUCAGCACAGAGAUGUUGUGCUCCCAGGGAGACCUUGCCCUGCCUUCUCACUCUGGGAGAAGUCACAUCUGCAGAGUGCUAGCAGGGCUGGGCAGAAACUGCUGGGAGCCAUGGGUGCCUGGUUUCUGGGCACUGGGGGUGCCACCACUGUGACUCUGCUCCAGGCGCUGCCCUGUCCCGCAGUGAGCACGGAGCUCUGUGUUCCCUGGGAGGGGAUUUCUGCCCUCCUGAACUCUCAUUCUGCGCUUCAAAGAGUACCUGCAAUUAGCUGCCUGCUCCACUUCCACUGGGGAAGAAGGUGUCAGAGGCCGCAGCCAGGUCAGGUCCUGUUGUACCACAAGCGCUACGCAGCCAUUUGCUGGGUGACAGUGGCAGUGACACCGUAUCCCACGCCUGUAGCACCACUCUCAGAAACGUUUUGUAUCUCAUUAUGGCACGUGCCAGAACUCAGAGCGCUGCUGUAACUGAGCACCCAGCACUCAGCCCUUCCUGGCUAAUGAAAUCCUGCGAGCAAUUUGUCUCGAGCUCCACGGAAUAUUUUUGCAUUACAG